GCCGAGAUAGCCAAGGCGGUCACGGCGGGCGCCUGAAGAGCGUCAGAUGGGGGUUCGAUUCCCUCUCUCGGCA
This 73-nucleotide transfer RNA is filed under the name Candidatus Amesbacteria bacterium RBG_16_48_31. Its description in RNAcentral is "tRNA-Phe". It matches the Rfam family "tRNA". From Rfam's summary of the family: Transfer RNA (tRNA) molecules are approximately 80 nucleotides in length. Their secondary structure includes four short double-helical elements and three loops (D, anti-codon, and T loops). Further hydrogen bonds mediate the characteristic L-shaped molecular structure. tRNAs have two regions of fundamental functional importance: the anti-codon, which is responsible for specific mRNA codon recognition, and the 3' end, to which the tRNAs corresponding amino acid is attached (by aminoacyl-tRNA synthetases). tRNAs cope with the degeneracy of the genetic code in two manners: having more than one tRNA (with a specific anti-codon) for a particular amino acid; and 'wobble' base-pairing, i.e. permitting non-standard base-pairing at the 3rd anti-codon position. Lineage: Bacteria; Candidatus Amesiibacteriota. The record is from RNAcentral. RNAcentral also lists the same sequence under 5 other names.